This 301-nucleotide ribosomal RNA is filed under the name uncultured bacterium. RNAcentral's name for it is "partial 16S ribosomal RNA". It matches the Rfam family "Bacterial small subunit ribosomal RNA", at positions 509 to 807 of the family's 1533-position model. The record is from RNAcentral.
CAGCAGCCGCGGGAACACAGAGGGUGCGAGCGUUAAUCGGAUUUACUGGGCGUAAAGCGUGCGUAGGCGGCUAAUUGAGUCGGAUGUGAAAUCCCCGAGCUUAACUUGGGAAUUGCAUUCGAUACUGGUUAGCUAGAGUGUGGGAGAGGAUGGUAGAAUUCCAGGUGUAGCGGUGAAAUGCGUAGAGAUCUGGAGGAAUACCGAUGGCGAAGGCAGCCAUCUGGCCUAACACUGACGCUGAGGUACGAAAGCAUGGGGAGCAAACAGGAUUAGAUACCCCAGUAGUCCCUGUCUCUUAUAC